RNAcentral lists this ribosomal RNA (1004 nucleotides) under uncultured archaeon. Its description in RNAcentral is "bacterial SSU rRNA". It matches the Rfam family "Archaeal small subunit ribosomal RNA", at positions 102 to 1111 of the family's 1478-position model. The record is from RNAcentral.
GGACAAUCUGCCCUGAAGAGGAGGAUAAUCCCGGGAAACUGGGGGUAAUACUCUAUAGUCCGGGAGGACUGGAAUGUUCUCCGGAUGAAAGAUCCGUCGCUUCAGGAUGAGUCUGCGGCCGAUUAGGUAGUUGUUGGGGUAAAAGCCCAACAAGCCCGUAAUCGGUACGGGUUGUGGGAGCAAGAGCCCGGAGAUGGAUUCUGAGACACGAAUCCAGGCCCUACGGGGCGCAGCAGGCGCGAAAACUUUACAAUGCGGGCAACCGUGAUAAGGAAACCCCGAGUGCCACCACAGGGUGGCUGUCCACCAGUGUAAAAAACUGGUGAAGAAAGGGCCGGGCAAGACCGGUGCCAGCCGCCGCGGUAAUACCGGCGGCUCGAGUGGUGGCCGCUUUUACUGGGCUUAAAGGGUCCGUAGCUUGAUUCACAAGUCCCUUGAGAAAUCCAUCGGCUUAACUGAUGGGCGUUCAGGGGAUACUGUGGUUCUAGGGACCGGGAGAGGUGAGAGGUACUGCCGGGGUAGGAGUGAAAUCCUGUAAUCCCGGUGGGACGACCUAUGGCGAAGGCAUCUCACCAGAACGGCUCCGACAGUGAGGGACGAAAGCUGGGGGAGCAAACCGGAUUAGAUACCCGGGUAGUCCCAGCUGUAAACGAUGCGCGUUAGGUGUGUCAGUGAUCACGUGUCACUGAGAUGCCGAAGGGAAACCGUGAAACGCGCCGCCUGGGGAGUACGGUCGCAAGGCUGAAACUUAAAGGAAUUGGCGGGGGAGCACCACAGCGGGUGGAGCCUGCGGUUUAAUCGGACUCAACGCCGGAAAUCUCACCGGAUAAGACAGCUGAAUGAUAGUCGGGAUGAAGACUCUACUUGACUAGCUGAGAGGAGGUGCAUGGCCGUCGUCAGUUCGUACUGUGAAGCAUCCUGUUUAGUCAGGCAACGAGCGAGACCCACGCCAACAGUUGCCAGCUUGGCCUUCGGGCUGAUGGGGACACUGUUGGGACCGCCUC